AUUGAACGCUGGCGGCAGGCCUAACACAUGCAAGUCGAGCGAGAAAGGUCUUCGGACUGAGUACAGCGGCGGACGGGUGAGCAAAGCGUAGGAAUCUACCUGGUAGUGGGGGAUAACUUGGGGAAACUCAAACUAAUACCGCAUACGCCCUACGGGGAAAGCGGGGGACCGUUCGGGCCUCGCGCUAUCAGAUGAGCCUGCGUAGGAUUAGCUAGUUGGUGAGGUAAAGGCUCACCAAGGCGACGAUCCUUAGCUGGUCUGAGAGGAUGAUCAGCCACACUGGGACUGAGACACGGCCCAGACUCCUACGGGAGGCAGCAGUGGGGAAUAUUGCGCAAUGGGCGAAAGCCUGACGCAGCCAUGCCGCGUGUGUGAAGAAGGCCUUAGGGUUGUAAAGCACUUUCAAUUGGGAAGAAAGUUGGUCGUUAAUAGCGGCCAGCCCUGACAUUACCUUUAGAAGAAGGACCGGCUAACUCCGUGCCAGCAGCCGCGGUAAUGUCGUACG
RNAcentral lists this ribosomal RNA (505 nucleotides) under uncultured bacterium. Its description in RNAcentral is "bacterial SSU rRNA". It matches the Rfam family "Bacterial small subunit ribosomal RNA", at positions 30 to 531 of the family's 1533-position model. The record is from RNAcentral.